AUCCCUUCGUAGCUUAUAAGCACAAUGAUUGAGUGUUCACACUGUUGUGUGACACGCGCCUCCCUCAGAUCUCAUUGCAAUAUUGGCACAUCACCCACGUGAAA
Molecule: small nucleolar RNA, 104 nt
Organism: Suricata suricatta (meerkat)
Lineage: Eukaryota; Metazoa; Chordata; Mammalia; Carnivora; Herpestidae
Source: Ensembl